GAUGAAGAACGUAGCGAAAUGCGAUAGGUAAUGUGAAUUGCAGAAUUCAGUGAAUCAUCGAAUCUUUGAACGCACAUUGCGCCCGCCAGUAUUCUGGCGGGCAUGCCUGUUCGAGCGUCAUUUCAACCAUCAAGCCCCCGGCUUGUGUUGGGGACCUGCGGCUGCCGCAGGCCCUGAAAAGCAGUGGCGGGCUCGCUGUCACACCGAGCGUAGUAGCAUACAUCUCGCUCUGGGCGUGCUGCGGGUUCCGGCCGUUAAACCACCUUCAUAACCCAAGGUUGACCUCGGAUCAGGUAGGAAGACCCGCUGAACUUAAGCAUAUCAAUAAGCGGAGGA
RNAcentral lists this unclassified non-coding RNA (336 nucleotides) under soil metagenome. RNAcentral's name for it is "partial contains 5.8S ribosomal RNA, internal transcribed spacer 2, and large subunit ribosomal RNA". The stretch from base 1 to 120 matches the Rfam family "5.8S ribosomal RNA", at positions 35 to 154 of the family's 154-position model. The record is from RNAcentral.